This 3830-nucleotide long non-coding RNA is filed under the name Homo sapiens (human). RNAcentral's name for it is "HSALNT0021752". Lineage: Eukaryota; Metazoa; Chordata; Mammalia; Primates; Hominidae. The record is from RNAcentral.
AAAAAUUAUUAUGAUUUUGAUAUUAAGCCUUCAAAACCAGUUGCUUUUUUUUUUUUUUUGAGAUGGAGUCUCGCUCUGUCUUCCACGCUGGAGUGCGGUGGCGCUAUCUCGGCUCACUGCAAGCUCCGCCUCCCAGGUUCACGCCAUUCUCCUGCCUCAGCCUCCCGAGCGGCUGGGAGUACAGGCGCCUGCCACCAAGCCGGGCUAAGUUCUUGUAUUUUUAGUAGAGACAGGGUUUCACCGUGUUAGCCAGGAUGGUCUCGAUCUCCUGACCUCGUGAUCUGCCCACCUUGGCCUCCCAAAGUGCUGGGAUUACAGGCACCAGUUGCAUGUUUACAGCACAUCUCAUUUCAGGCUUAUCACCUCCCAACUGCUCACCUGUGGCUCAUGGCCACUGCACAGGCUGGGCAGCUGUGGACUGUGCAGCUCCCCGUCCAGGAAUGGAGAUUAUCAGGAGUCAGCCUAAGUCCUAUCAUUUUUCUCUUCUAUCUUAUCACUAUCUCUUCUUGGAGGGCCUCGGAUGUGUCUGGCCACUUCCUGCCAGGGCCAUUCCCUGAUGCUGCCAACCUUUCCCAGAAAAGGAGUGGCUCCUAGAAAGACAAGGCCUACCGAGAAAUGCAGAGGGGCAGGAAGUGAGCCAUUUCGAGGGCACUCCUGUGUCACCCUGUGCUGUUGGAGUCGCCGAGGAUACAGUGUACAGGUAGCGGGAUAGCCGGUUGCCAGCACAGGCUGGGUUGAGAAACCUCCAAGCAUUGCUGCCUGCUACUUCUCUCCCCAAGCCCGGCGCUCAUUCCUCCACACAUGUAGUAGCCCUGUGUUCCUUUUCUCCCAACUAAAGGCAAUUCAAGAUAAAUAAAUAUGUUGAUCUUGCCUGGGGGGCUCAACUAGUACGUUUGUCAGCACUGGGACCGGGGUUUAACCAUGACUAGCUACUUCAUUUGUCACAGGGGUGUAUUUAUCUGUGUUUGGAAGAUUUAAUUUUUCCCCCACGAAGAACUGUAUAAAUAGGUCUAAUGAGCCUUGAGGGCUCUCAUUUCCUUUCAGAGUUUCCAGCAAGCUGGGAAGUCUCAGGGCACGCUUGCCUCUUAGGACUCUGUGGUGCCCACUACAAGGGGGACUGGCGAAGCCGCAUCAUUCUCCUGGAGGGCACACAUGGCCUUGGGAUGCCCAGGUGCUCUCAUUCAGGGGGCUUACGUUUGGGGAUGUGUAAUUAAGAUUAUUUUUUUCUCUUUGCUUAUGAUAAUCUGCAUAAUCUUUUGUUUGUGUAGCUGGCAAAGUGCUCUCCAGAUAAAGAGAAGGGCGUAGUUAAUAUAUAUGAAUAGAAGAGUAACACUGGGGGCUGCUUGCUCUGAAGAUUGCCUCUCCAUCCAGCCAGCAUCCACUCCUGCCUUUCCUAUAUCAUGUUUUUCUUUUAUGAGAGAGUUUCUGUCUAAGUAAGAGCCGAUGUUAAUUCCAGCAGCAUGUGUUCCAGGGGCUUGGGGUGGUGGUACCAAGAGAAUGACGAUGAAACAGAGAGAGAGAGAGAGAGAGUGUAAGGCUGUGGUGCAGAAAAGGGAGAGGAGUGACAGAGGAUGUGCAGGGGGAGGCAAGGUAAGGGAAAGAAGAUUUUUAAGAAAUGAGAAAAAGGAAGAUAAUGAAGGAGGGGGGAGGAUGGAGGGAGAAACACAUGAGGUUAAAGAGGGAAUAUCAUAGAUGUCUUUGAUGGGAAAGGCCCCAGAAAUCCCAUUUUGGUUUCAUAGCUGGGGAAACAGUGGAGAGCAAGGGAAGUGACUUUCCUGUGCCCACCCACCAUGGUUACUGGCAGAGCGCGGGUUCUCAUGCAUGGCUCUGUCCUCAGUGGUACCUCCAGGAGGAAGAGUGGAGAGAGACGUACAGGGGGCUGUUUUAGAACUUGGUGGGUUCUUGUUUCAAUUAGUGUGUCAACAUUGAUGAUCUCGGGUGAGUCCUCUUUGUCCCCUUCCUCCUGACCACCACUGGUCAUUGCGGCUCUGGCUACUUCUUUGCAACAAGUGCUCUCUAUUCUGGUCUAAGUUUUCAUAUCAUCUGGGUGAGAUUAAGAAAGCAGAAACCCUGGCUGGUCGCAUUAAAAACAAAACCAAAAAUAACUCUGCAUACUUACCCCAUGUUGACUCCGUUAGGAGUGUCUGUGCUUAUUUCUUAGGCUCCCCAUGUUACUAGAACACACUUUGAGAAUUUCUUUAUGCAUCACACACACACACACACACACACACACACACACACACACACACACACAAAGUGGGGGGCCGUGGUACAGGUUCUACUCCCAGCUCUGAAGGAGUGUGCCGUUUUACUCCUUGCCUCAGUUUUCUCUACAGAGGAAUGGGCAGGUUGACCUGUUGACCUCUGACAUUGGAGGCCCCCUUGGCUUCCAUAUUUCGUGACUGCAGAGGCAGAAUGGUUUGGGGGAAAGAGCUUGAACUGUCUACUACCUGUAAAUAGACAAUUUCUAAAUUCUUUCUGGCUUCUUUGCCCAUUGCUGAAGCAAUAGGUCUCAUCAUUUCUGCCUCAUAGGAUUUUAAGUUUGAGAUAAUUUUUAUGAGGAAGUGGUCAGGAAGGCCUUGGUAAAGUAUAGUGGGUACAGGUUUUAAAUUGCAUUUUUCUUGUUUGCUUGUUGUCUAUUUCCUUAUUCCUGUGACUUUUAGGCUGAAGCUGGCUCAUAUUGGCUUGCCAAAGCUGAUGAAGCUCAUCUAUUUCCAACUUUGUUCAGUCAUAUCUCCUUGGUAGCCUGAAAUUGGUCAUGGUGGGAGUGUUUACACCAAGGAAAUUGGCUCACGCCUGUGAUCCCAGCAUUUUGGUAGGCCGAAAUGGGAGGGUCUCAUAAAGUCAGGAGUUUGAGUCCAGCCUGGCCAACAUGGUGAAACGCCUACUCUACUAUAAUAAAAAUACAAAAAUUAGCCACGCAUGGUGGUGUGUGCCUGUAGUCCCAGCUACUCAGGAGGCAUGAGGCAGAAAAUCACUUGAACCUGGGAGGCAGAGGUUGCAGUGAGCUGAGAUUGCACCAUAGCCCUCCAACCUGGGUGACAGAGUGAAACUCCAUCAAAAUUAAAACAAAAAAAAAAAAAAAAGGAAAUUGGCAAAUGUUGUAAAUCAAGCCUUCUUUUCCCCCCUGAAAAUUCAGUUGGGAAACAUUACCAGCACUCCACUGAGCCUGACCUUCCUAUUUUAUUUAGGUUUAUUCUGAUUUCUCUGGAUUUUGAGCAUAUUAUUCACUUAUGUAGCACCUGCUCAUUUUGAGCUUACUGCAUAAGUACUAUGGAUAGCAAUGCCAGAUAAAAUACAGGAUGUCUAGUUAAUUUUAAUUUUAGAUAAACAAUGAAUAAUGUUUUAGUGUAAGUAUGUCCCAUGCAAUAUUUUGGAUGUAUUCAUACCAUAAAUGUAUUAUUUAUCUGAAAUGGAAACUUACCAGGGGUGUCUUGUAUUUUUCUUUGCUAAAUCUAUCUACCUUAGCUAUGGAGAAUCUAGACUUAUAAGAUACAGUUCCUGCCUGGAGAUGCUUAUCGUAUAGUAGAGAUUACCGACCUUAUGAAAUUUGAGAUGAGAAUGUAAACUGGGAACUUGGUACACUAAAAUCCUCAUCUACAUCAUCAUGUACCCUUUAUUCAAUGUUUAUUGAACAACUAUUCUAUGCUGGGCACUAUUCUAGGUUCUGAGGAUUCCUCAGUAGACAAAACACAGACCCUUCUCACAGAGCUUCUCUCUGGUUUGAGAGAGACAGAUAAUAAAUAAGAUGAAAAAAAAAAGACUUAAGAUAUUAGUAGUAAGCACUGUGGAGAAAAAUAAAGCAGAGAAGGGACCUGGGGCAGGUAAGG